UAUAAUUUAGUGUAAGAAGCACAAAAAUUUUUGAUAUUUUAGAUAUAGUUUAAUUCUAUAAAUUAUAA
This 68-nucleotide transfer RNA is filed under the name Thitarodes pui. Its description in RNAcentral is "tRNA-Gln". Lineage: Eukaryota; Metazoa; Arthropoda; Insecta; Lepidoptera; Hepialidae. The record is from RNAcentral.